GUCAGCCCUAUCCUCUUGUCUGGAGAACAGGAAUGAGUUCUCUGGGGACUCUGGCCACCCCAACCAAAUGGAUCAAUUUGAUUCCCAUCAGAAAAGUACACAGAACACAUACUCUGAGUUUACAAAGAAGUUUUAGUUUCCUGCACUGAAAUGUGGAUAGACGGCCAAAGAUCAUUAGGUAUCUGAAGAAAGCCUCUAGUGUGAGAGACAGAGAUCAGAUACAAUAAUAUAAAAAAGCAAAUUAGAACAGUUUUUACAAGAAGAACAAGACUUCAAAUAAGUAAUUAUCAAUAAACAUCUUUAGAGAAAUUUUUAAAAGGAAACUUUGUAAUUAUGAAGCAAGAAAAGGAACUUAGAAGAAAAAGAAGCAUUCAUAGGACAAAAGAACAUUUAAAAAUUACUCAUGAAAAAACUCAAUAGAAGUUUGAAAGAUAUAUUUGGAUGCCUACUGGAUGCAGAAACCUCUCAGAAAACAAGGCAGAAUAAAAAGGAAAUGAAUAACAGGAAGAUAAAUUCAAAAUAUUAGAAAAACAAUCCAGAAAUUAUAAUAGGUACCUAAAAUGUACGUCAUAAUGAUUGAGAAAAGAAUCAUCAACAAAAUUAUUGAAAUCCUCAGAUAUGCAGGACAGGAGUGUCCAGAAUAAAAGAGCUAUGAAAAUAGAUUCAUGACAAAGUGUAUCAUUAGAAAAUAUCGGAAUAUUGAGAACAAAGAAAAAAAGCCUAGAACUGGAAAGAAAACCUCACAAAGAUCACUUUUUAAAAAACCAGGAGUCAAUCAGAAUGGCUUGAGACUUCUCUACACCAAACAAACAAACAAAGGAAUAGAUUUAAAUUUUUUACGGAAAAAAUAUUUUUUAUCUGGAAUUCUAUUCGAAUCUAAAUUAGUAAUCAAAUGACAGGUAUAAUAAAUACUUUUCAUGAGAUGUAAUAUCUCCAAAAAUUUACCUAGCACGCUAAGUUGUUAUCAAGAUGCUAUGGCAGUAUGUGCCAUACUCAAAGGGGAGAGUAGACUAAGGAGGAGAGCAGAGUUCCAGUGACUGGGAGAUUCCAAGGAAAGCAUCAGUAUGGUGGUGGAAGAAAAAGCCUGGAUGACAGCUUUGUACCCAAAUCAGAGGCAUUCAGUCCGUUUAAAAACUAGUCAGAGCUUUCAGGAGCAAUUUCUCCAAGAAGAUGACUUUGACACAAUACUUAAUAUGUCAGUGUCCUAAAAUAUUUUGGGAUAAAAUGGUGAUAACUUUAUAGAAAAAACUACCCAAUAAAAUAACAACAAUAAGGCCUGCUGUUUCCCAUUCUUCUGUGUCACUGCACACACUGUAUGCCUGUCAGAGUUCCAGUGCACCUAUGACCAAACUUUUAUGGAACGUUUAUCCAAGAACACCAAAGAGGAAAUGCUAUGGGCAGGAAACUACACUUUAUAAUGUAAACAUAGCCCAAGAGACAAAAGAUGGGUUUAGGGGUCUGCAAGCAUUGUGUUUGAUCUGGG
Molecule: long non-coding RNA, 1483 nt
Filed under: Equus caballus (horse)
Lineage: Eukaryota; Metazoa; Chordata; Mammalia; Perissodactyla; Equidae
Description: lncRNA (ENSECAG00000049773.1)
Source: RNAcentral